RNAcentral lists this ribosomal RNA (516 nucleotides) under uncultured bacterium. Its description in RNAcentral is "partial 16S ribosomal RNA". It matches the Rfam family "Bacterial small subunit ribosomal RNA", at positions 28 to 523 of the family's 1533-position model. The record is from RNAcentral.
GACGAACGCUGGCGGCGCGCCUAAUACAUGCAAGUCGAGCGGAGUUAUGAGGAAGCUUGCUUCCGAUUAACUUAGCGGCGGACGGGUGAGUAACACGUAGGCAACCUGCCCCUAAGACUGGGAUAACUACCGGAAACGGUAGCUAAUACCGGAUAAUCUCUUCCCUCUCCUGAGGGAAGAAUGAAAGGCGGAGCAAUCUGCCACUUGGGGAUGGGCCUGCGGCGCAUUAGCUAGUUGGCGGGGUAACGGCCCACCAAGGCGACGAUGCGUCGCCGAACUGAGAGGGUGAACGGCCACACUGGGCCUGAGAGACGGCCCAGACUCCUACGGGAGGCAGCAGUAGGGAAUCUUCCGCAAUGGGCGCAAGCCUGACGGAGCAACGCCGCGUGAGUGAUGAAGGUUUUCGGAUCGUAAAGCUCUGUUGCCAGGGAAGAACGUCCGGUAGAGUAACUGCUGCCGGAGUGACGGUACCUGAGAAGAAAGCCCCGGCUAACUACGUGCCAGCCGCCGCGGUAA